This 718-nucleotide long non-coding RNA is filed under the name Marmota monax (woodchuck). Lineage: Eukaryota; Metazoa; Chordata; Mammalia; Rodentia; Sciuridae. The record is from RNAcentral.
GGGGAAUUCACUGACACCUGUCUUACGGCCCAGCAGAAGGUGCCAGGUUCCUACAGAGGGCGGGGUCCUCCUAGACAGUCUUCACUAGUUCUCUCACAUCCUCCCUGACUACUUUGCCAUUUCGUUGAGGCGUAAUUGACGAUGGCACAGUGUGUUUACAGCAUGCGACAAGAAAGGCGUGGUGAGACCAUCAGCCCAGCAGGGCCCCUCACACACCCCUCACCUCCCGUAGCUAUGUAUUCCCUUGGGGUGAGGACAUGUAAGAGUACUGCCCCACCAGCCACUACUCAUCCACUUUCUGCUUGUCUGAGUUGUUCUAGAUCCACCAAAAGUGAGACCACGCAGCAUUUGUCUUAUUUCACUUGACCGUGUCUCCAGGUUCAUCCACGUUGUACAAAUGACAGGCUUUCCUUCUGUUAAGGAGGACUGAUUCCAUGUCUUGGCCCUUGGGAACAAUCUCACCAUGGACCUGAGCACACAGAGAUCUCUCUGACACACUGAUGCAUUUCCUUUGGAUAGGUACCCAGUUCUGGGAUUUCGCUGACUUGAACUAUAUACAUUUAAUCCGUUGGGAUUAUCUUGACUUUGGAGAUCCGGAUAUUCAUUUCCCACUCCAGAGUUGGGACAUUAUCUGCCAUUAUUGCUUUAAAAGAGGUCUUGUUUUUUGUGGACUCCUGGAUUCCCAGAAUGCACAUACUGGUUUGCGGGAGGGUGCCAC